UCAGUCGAAGAUACCAGCUGGCUGCAACUGUUUAUUAAAAACACAGCACUGUGCAAACACGAAAGUGGACGUAUACGGUGUGACGCCUGCCCGGUGCCGGAAGGUUAAUUGAUGGGGUUAUCGCAAGAGAAGCUCCUGAUCGAAGCCCCGGUAAACGGCGGCCGUAACUAUAACGGUCCUAAGGUAGCGAAAUUCCUUGUCGGGUAAGUUCCGACCUGCACGAAUGGCGUAAUGAUGGCCAGGCUGUCUCCACCCGAGACUCAGUGAAAUUGAACUCGCUGUGAAGAUGCAGUGUACCCGCGGCAAGACGGAAAGACCCCGUGAACCUUUACUACAGCUUGACACUGAACAUUGAGCCUUGAUGUGUAGGAUAGGUGGGAGGCUUUGAAGCGUGGACGCCAGUCUGCGUGGAGCCGACCUUGAAAUACCACCCUUUAAUGUUUGAUGUUCUAACCUGGCGCCGUGAUCCGGCGUGGGGACAGUGUCUGGUGGGUAGUUUGACUGGGGCGGUCUCCUCCCAAAGUGUAACGGAGGAGCACGAAGGUCAGCUAAUCCUGGUCGGACAUCAGGAGGUUAGUGCAAUGGCAUAAGCUGGCUUGACUGCGAGAGUGACGGCUCGAGCAGGUGCGAAAGCAGGUCAUAGUGAUCCGGUGGUUCUGUAUGGAAGGGCCAUCGCUCAACGGAUAAAAGGUACUCCGGGGAUAACAGGCUGAUACCGCCCAAGAGUUCAUAUCGACGGCGGUGUUUGGCACCUCGAUGUCGGCUCAUCACAUCCUGGGGCUGAAGUAGGUCCCAAGGGUAUGGCUGUUCGCCAUUUAAAGUGGUACGCGAGCUGGGUUUAGAACGUCGUGAGACAGUUCGGUCCCUAUCUGCCGUGGGCGCUGGAGAAUUGAGGGGGGCUGCUCCCAGUACGAGAGGACCGGAGUGGACGCAUCACUGGUGUUCGGGUUGUCAUGCCAAUGGCACUGCCCGGUAGCUAAAUGCGGAAGAGAUAAGUGCUGAAAGCAUCUAAGCACGAAACUUGCCCCGAGAUGAGUUCUCCCUGAGACUGUAAGUCUCCUGAAGGAACGUUGAAGACGACGACGUUGAUAGGCCGGGUGUGUAAGCGCAGCGAUGCGUUGAGCUAACCGGUACUAAUGAACCGUGAGGCUUAACCUUACAACGCCAAAGAAGU
RNAcentral lists this ribosomal RNA (1174 nucleotides) under Cronobacter sakazakii. Its description in RNAcentral is "partial 23S ribosomal RNA". It matches the Rfam family "Bacterial large subunit ribosomal RNA", at positions 1773 to 2925 of the family's 2925-position model. The record is from RNAcentral. Lineage: Bacteria; Pseudomonadati; Pseudomonadota; Gammaproteobacteria; Enterobacterales; Enterobacteriaceae.